CUAACAGACACCAUAAAUUUGACCUCUGCCAAACUGAACUCUGAACACUGUUCUACUCCAAGUUGACUUAACUAGCAUCAGUUCCAUCAUAGUUAAUGGAAACCGUUUCCAAUGGCUCAAACCAAAAACUUUGAAAUAACCUUUCUUUCUUUCACAGCCCAUUAUAUGGAAUUAUGUCAGCUCCACCUUCAACUUAUGUUAAGCUAAAACCUCACACCUUUUACCACCAAGGCAGCUAACACUGGGUCUGAGUCAUCCUCAUUUCUUAUCUGCAAGUUCUACAGCUACAUGGAGCAUUCUCCAGCCUCCAGCCUUCUGUGUUGGCCAUUCUCUCUGCCCACAACCCCAGCUAUAAGCCUGAUGAGAAGUCACCUGAAGACAGUGGUCCUUGUUUUUUUCCCUGCAUUCCUAGCACUUAAAGCAGCAAUCUAUGUAUAUACACAUAUUGUCCAAAUGUAGGAGAAAUUAAGACCUGUAUGUGUGCACAUAGAGAUAAACAUUUACCUGC
This is a long non-coding RNA of Lutra lutra (Eurasian river otter), 508 nucleotides long. RefSeq lists it as uncharacterized. The record is from RefSeq and is a predicted model, not a curated record. Lineage: Eukaryota; Metazoa; Chordata; Mammalia; Carnivora; Mustelidae. The transcript has 3 exons.